RNAcentral lists this ribosomal RNA (582 nucleotides) under Triticum aestivum (bread wheat). Its description in RNAcentral is "partial small subunit ribosomal RNA". The record is from RNAcentral. Lineage: Eukaryota; Viridiplantae; Streptophyta; Magnoliopsida; Poales; Poaceae.
AUGUCAUCUUUCGUCGAGCGCUACAUAGUUGAACUUGAUCAGGUCCCCUCUCAAGUUGCUAGGCAAAACCCUGUUGAGGGGGGCCGACAGAAUGCACCCCGGCGAUGGUUGCCGUCGACGGAGGGAGUAGUUAAAAUCAAUGUUGAUGGUGCAUUGGCGUGCAAUAGGAGAGAAGGUGCAGUCGCUGCGGUGUGUCAUGAUCACACUGGGACGUACCUUGGAUCCUCCGAAGUGGUAUUCAGUGGGAUCAGAGAUCCAACAAUCCUGGAAACUUAUGCAUGUAGGGAAGCUUUGGCUCUGGCGGAUGAUCUUCUCGAGCGGAGGCUAAAAGUGGUGUCAGACUGCCUGGGAGUGGUGAAUGAUAUUAACAAGGGCACGAGAGGAGCCCAUGCCGCCAUUGUUCAUGAAAUAAAAAGUCAUUGUAAUAGUUUUGCUUUCUGUUCUUUUGUUCAUGAGGCUAGAAACCACAACUUCGAGGCUCAUAACCUCGCCAAGUUUGCUUGUAACCUGAAUGUAGGUAGGCACGUAUGGCUGGGUAAUCCCCAUGACCCUGCACGUGUGCCUAUGAACAUCCUUGAGUAA